AUUGAACGCUAGCGGGAUGCUUUACACAUGCAAGUCGAACGGCGUGGCGGAGGGGUGUGUAAUAUAUCGGAACGUCUGCAGUAGCGGGGGAUAACUACGAGACAGAGUGUCUAACACCACAAACUAAGGGAGGGGCCGAUAUGGGAUUGGCUAGUUGGUGGGGUAAAGGCUCACCAAGGCCACGAUCCGUAGCUGGUUUGAGAGGACGACCAGCCACACUGGGACUGAGACACGGCCCAGACUCCUACGGGAGGCAGCAGUGGGGAAUUUUGGACAAUGGGGGAAACCCUGAUCCAGCCAUGCCGCGUGUAUGAUGAAGGCCUUCGGGUUGUAAAGUACUUUUGGCAGAGAAGCGGUAUCUGCAGAAGAAGCACCGGCUAACUACGUGCCAGCAGCCGCGGUAAUAC
RNAcentral lists this ribosomal RNA (407 nucleotides) under uncultured bacterium. Its description in RNAcentral is "partial 16S ribosomal RNA". It matches the Rfam family "Bacterial small subunit ribosomal RNA", at positions 30 to 526 of the family's 1533-position model. The record is from RNAcentral.